ACAAUUAGAGUGAAGCCCUCAUGAAUGGGAUUAGUGGUCUUCUAAAAUGAACCUGAGAGAGUUCUUUCAUCUUCUUCCUGCCAUGUGAAGACAUAAAGAGAUGAUCAUCUAGGAACCAGGCCCUCACCAGACACAAAUGCCUGUGCCACUGACCUCGGAAGGAGAAGGAUCUGCAGAGCACGUUCUCAGGACAGCCACUCCUGAGGCUGGUGGGACUCGUGAUUGCUACUUGAAUUGGAAUAAUUAGAACGGACAUGAAAAAGGAAUGAAGACAUAUCCCUUCAAAUUUAAACCUACAACUUAAAAUGCAAUUUCAUGAGCACUGUGGGAGGCCUGAGUUUUUACUGCUGGAGCCAAUAGUGAAGAUCUAUCUGGAAAUGUGAUUACCUACAGUAAGCACAAUCACAGAUUUCGGUUGACAACUGGGAGGUCUCCUUCCUUCCUGCGAUCAU
RNAcentral lists this long non-coding RNA (452 nucleotides) under Callithrix jacchus (white-tufted-ear marmoset). RNAcentral's name for it is "lncRNA (ENSCJAG00000084695.1)". Lineage: Eukaryota; Metazoa; Chordata; Mammalia; Primates; Cebidae. The record is from RNAcentral.